UGGGGAAUAUUGCACAAUGGGGGAAACCCUGAUGCAGCGAUGCCGCGUGAGUGAAGAAGUAUUUCGGUAUGUAAAGCUCUAUCAGCAGGGAAGAAAAUGACGGUACCUGACUAAGAAGCCCCGGCUAACUACGUGCCAGCAGCCGCGGUAAUACGUAGGGGGCAAGCGUUAUCCGGAUUUACUGGGUGUAAAGGGAGCGUAGACGGUAAUGCAAGUCUGGAGUGAAAACCCGGGGCUCAACCCCGGGACUGCUUUGGAAACUGUAUAACUGGAGUGCCGGAGAGGUAAGCGGAAUUCCUAGUGUAGCGGUGAAAUGCGUAGAUAUUAGGAGGAACACCAGUGGCGAAGGCGGCUUACUGGACGGUAACUGACGUUGAGGCUCGAAAGCGUGGGGAGCAAACA
RNAcentral lists this ribosomal RNA (402 nucleotides) under uncultured bacterium. RNAcentral's name for it is "bacterial SSU rRNA". It matches the Rfam family "Bacterial small subunit ribosomal RNA", at positions 355 to 774 of the family's 1533-position model. The record is from RNAcentral.